This 253-nucleotide ribosomal RNA is filed under the name uncultured bacterium. RNAcentral describes it as "partial 16S ribosomal RNA". It matches the Rfam family "Bacterial small subunit ribosomal RNA", at positions 524 to 776 of the family's 1533-position model. The record is from RNAcentral.
UACGUAGGGUGCAAGCGUUGUCCGGAAUUAUUGGGCGUAAAGAGCUCGUAGGCGGUCUGUCACGUCGGCUGUGAAAACCCGAGGCUCAACCUCGGGCCUGCAGUCGAUACGGGCAAGCUAGAGUGUUGCAGGGGAGACUGGAAUUCCUGGUGUAGCGGUGAAAUGCGCAGAUAUCAGGAGGAACACCGAUGGCGAAGGCAGGUCUCUGGGCAGUAACUGACGCUGAGGAGCGAAAGCAUGGGGAGCGAACAGG